Molecule: transfer RNA, 68 nt
Filed under: Choaspes benjaminii (Indian awkling)
Lineage: Eukaryota; Metazoa; Arthropoda; Insecta; Lepidoptera; Hesperiidae
Description: tRNA-Leu
Source: RNAcentral
GCUAUUUUGACAGAAAAAUGUGAUGAUUUUAGAAAUCAUUUAUAUAUAAUUUAUUUAUAUAUUUAGUA